UCUCUUUUUCUAUCAUCCAUAUUCUCCUAACAACUUUCGAUAAUUUUCCGGUAUACACACACAAGGAUUCCAUGAUCAUAUAAGCGUAAAUUAUUAUCUCAAUUUUGUGAUCAUCGCUUAAGGUGAUCAAGAUUUCUGGGACAGGAUAAGGAAGAGUGUUCGAGUGUUUGGAAAAGACCGUAGAAAUAAAUGUACUGGAUUAGAUAUCCUAUUUCCAUCAAGUUCCCGUUUCGGGUUGGGGUGUUAUAG
Molecule: long non-coding RNA, 249 nt
Filed under: Helianthus annuus (common sunflower)
Lineage: Eukaryota; Viridiplantae; Streptophyta; Magnoliopsida; Asterales; Asteraceae
Description: hypothetical non coding rna
Source: RNAcentral